UGCAGGGAUGGUGUAAUUGGCAACAUCACAGUCUCCAAAACUGUUGUUCUGGGUUCAAGUCCUAGUCUCUGCGU
RNAcentral lists this transfer RNA (74 nucleotides) under Calothrix sp. NIES-4101. RNAcentral's name for it is "tRNA-Trp". It matches the Rfam family "tRNA". Rfam says of the family: Transfer RNA (tRNA) molecules are approximately 80 nucleotides in length. Their secondary structure includes four short double-helical elements and three loops (D, anti-codon, and T loops). Lineage: Bacteria; Bacillati; Cyanobacteriota; Cyanophyceae; Nostocales; Calotrichaceae. The record is from RNAcentral.